This 489-nucleotide ribosomal RNA is filed under the name uncultured bacterium. Its description in RNAcentral is "partial 16S ribosomal RNA". It matches the Rfam family "Bacterial small subunit ribosomal RNA", at positions 30 to 507 of the family's 1533-position model. The record is from RNAcentral.
UUGAACGCUGGCGGCAGGCCUAACCCAUGCCAGUCGAACGGUAACAGGAAACAGCUUGCUGUUUCGCUGACGAGUGGCGGACGGGUGAGUAAUGUCUGGGAAACUGCCUGAUGGAGGGGGAUAACUACUGGAAACGGUAGCUAAUACCGCAUAACGUCGCAAGACCCAAGAGGGGGACCUUCGGGCCUCUUGCCAUCGGAUGUGCCCAGAUGGGAUUAGCUAGUAGGUGGGGUAACGGCUCACCUAGGCGACGAUCCCUAGCUGGUCUGAGAGGAUGACCAGCCACACUGGAACUGAGACACGGUCCAGACUCCUACGGGAGGCAGCAGUGGGGAAUAUUGCACAAUGGGCGCAAGCCUGAUGCAGCCAUGCCGCGUGUAUGAAGAAGGCCUUCGGGUUGUAAAGUACUUUCAGCGGGGAGGAAGGGAGUAAAGUUAAUACCUUUACUCAUUGACGUUACCCGCAGAAGAGGCACCGGCUAACUCCGUG